This 465-nucleotide ribosomal RNA is filed under the name Vreelandella stevensii. RNAcentral describes it as "partial 16S ribosomal RNA". It matches the Rfam family "Bacterial small subunit ribosomal RNA", at positions 338 to 795 of the family's 1533-position model. Lineage: Bacteria; Pseudomonadati; Pseudomonadota; Gammaproteobacteria; Oceanospirillales; Halomonadaceae. The record is from RNAcentral.
CCUACGGGAGGCUGCAGUGGGGAAUAUUGGACAAUGGGGGCAACCCUGAUCCAGCCAUGCCGCGUGUGUGAAGAAGGCCCUCGGGUUGUAAAGCACUUGCAGUGAGGAAGAACGCCUGGUGGUUAAUACCCAUCAGGAAAGACAUCACUCACAGAAGAAGCACCGGCUAACUCCGUGCCAGCAGCCGCGGUAAUACGGAGGGUGCGAGCGUUAAUCGGAAUUACUGGGCGUAAAGCGCGCGUAGGUGGCUUGAUAAGCCGGUUGUGAAAGCCCCGGGCUCAACCUGGGAACGGCAUCCGGAACUGUCAAGCUAGAGUGCAGGAGAGGAAGGUAGAAUUCCCGGUGUAGCGGUGAAAUGCGUAGAGAUCGGGAGGAAUACCAGUGGCGAAGGCGGCCUUCUGGACUGACACUGACACUGAGGUGCGAAAGCGUGGGUAGCAAACAGGAUUAGAUACCCGAGUAGUC